UAAAACACUUAGAAUUUGUAUAAACAUUGUUUCCCUUUUAGAACCUUGUCUAGAACUGGGGGGAAAAUGUGAUGUGCUUGCUUGAGGAUACUAUAUUUUUGGGCCUUGGUGGUUUUUAAAGGAGAGGCUUGUUAUAUGAGGAAUUUAUGAUUUGGGUAUAGGGUUAGAUUGAAUAAAUUCAAUAAAUUCUGAGGUACCUUUCAUAUGUUGUAAUAAGCACUGGUCUCAGAGUUAGGACCUGGGUUUGAGUACCAGUAUUUCCAGUCUGUGGCCCUGGAUUAAACCAACUUUCUGAUCCUCAGUUCCCUCAUGUAUAAAAAGGGGAUAAUACUUCGGUUAUUUACUUCAUUAGACUAUUAUCAGGAUCUCAUGAAAUGUAAUAGAUGUAAAAGCACUUUGAAAACAGGAAAGCACUCUCUACAUAUGUAGUGAUUAUCUUUAUUGUCACUCCUGUUUACAUCUAUUUUAGCAAUGCUAGAUGAACAGCAGUGACACACUGAUAAGUCCCUCCCAUCUGCUUACUCCAUAAAAGAUUGUGCUAAUGUAAACUAUUUUUUAAAAAGUAAGUUUAUUAUUUGCUUCAUAGAGGCAGUGUGGGGUUAGUGGGUAGAGUUGGCCUUGUCAGGAGGACUUGAAUUCAAACACUGGCUGUGUCACCCUGUUCUAAACCAUCUCUGGUAACCCUCAAAGACUUGUUAGGGAACUUUUGUUGAUUCUUUUAGUACUGGUAGUUUGUUUUUAGGAGUUCUCUACAAUCAAUGAAAUCUAUGUUAUCCUGAUUUUGUAUUUUAGGAUUGUUUAGAGAUGCAUUUUACUAAUAAUAAAACACCCUUGGACACAUUCAGACUUUAUUUAGUACUUGCCUUAAGUCACAAGGGCAAUACUUUAUGAUAAGUAAAAUGGUAAAAGGAUCCUAGGGAGUAGGGGAAAUGAGGUCACUUAAAAUUAGUGAACCCAAUUCACAGCAAAGGACUGGGCAUUCUGAUGAAACAGGGUGAUUUGGAGGGAUUGGGGAGGAAAGGAAACAAGGCUCUGUGGGGAUUGGGAUAACUGUUACUGAAGGACCCAAUGACUAGAGUAUGGAUAUUGAAGUAGGAGAGAAAGAGGUAAACAAACAAACCAAAAAAGUCAACUUUUUUUUAUUCUAUAUAUGUGGCAAUGAAUUUUGGCAUUUAAUUGUAUUUAUUUUCAAAAUGUGGAAAUUUCUCUUAACUUUGCAAUUCUGUAUGGUGAUGCUUUUACUUAACAUAGAAAAAUCAAUUUAAUUUUUGUUCUUGAAUAAUUUCCUG
Molecule: long non-coding RNA, 1289 nt
Filed under: Sarcophilus harrisii (Tasmanian devil)
Lineage: Eukaryota; Metazoa; Chordata; Mammalia; Dasyuromorphia; Dasyuridae
Description: lncRNA (ENSSHAG00000026972.1)
Source: RNAcentral